UCAUUGUGGACGUUCACAUCCCCUCCUGAUGAGGAUAGUAAUUAUGAUAAGACUCGACUAACGUCAGAUGAUGCCUUACGCCUCGAUCGAUGCGACAGCACCUGGUCAAUGCAGACCGGGGCACAUUAACACCCUGCUCAAGCUCAAUUCUUCACGCCACGCCAACACAAGUGUCAGACGCUACCAGCCUGCCCCUGCAAGCGGGUAGCUCAGGAAGCAAUAAGCUUCCCUAUAAAUACCCUCUCGUUCAUCAAGAGAGGGGGGAGAAACAGACACACAAAAAGACUUCUUCGUCUGAAACCCCCUUUGACAUCUUCUAACUUGAUCGUCGGAUGGGUCGGGUCGAGCUUCCCGACCCGACCUUUGUGCAGGUGCGAAGCUGAAGGCCCCCGCUGGACGCGCAGGCGAGGAGUUCUUGCCCGGAGGAAAAGGCAACCUCGUCCCGAUCGGACACCGCACCCGACCACCUCAGCGGGCUCAAGGAACGCCCUAAGGAGAUCCUCGUCGUCCGGACCCGAACCGAGCCGCGUCAGUCCCGAGGCCACAGCUCAAGGUUGUUUCCCACAACAAAUUGGUUCUAGAAGGAGGGCCCGGAAUGUCGGGUGAUCACCCGAGCGGCUCAGAUGAGCCCACGGCUAAGAGGUCGCACCCGACUGAAACCUCGGGGGAACAUCCCCCGCACGGAGACCAUCGUGAUGAACACCCCGCUACGACAUCAGAACGAUAUUGGCGAAUAUUCAAUGACCCGGGCUUGUCACCGCCCGACGACGCCCCAGCCGACUCGACGCCCGUGUUAUCCGAGGCCUUUCAGGACCUCGCCCAUCAAGUCCGAGCUCUGACGGGUAUGGUGCAAACCAUUAUCCCGCUCGUUGCUCAUCCGACGCACCCGCCUGCGAUCGAACCACUGCGACAACGCAAGGCGCCCGUUCGGGCCCACACGACACUUUCGGAGCCCCCUGCUUCGCCUCGGGUCCGAUCGGCCCCACUCGGGGAUCCAGUGAUGGCAAACCCGAGCGGCCGCCCGGAACUCGAGGCAUUCUCUUCGGAUUCUAUGGACUCCCUAUGGGCCCAGUUGCGCUUCGUCAGCCAGCGACUCGACGAGGUGCAGAAAGAGGUUCGCAGGUCCAAGGGAGAGCUCGAGGAGGACGCACACCAAGGGUCUCCCUUUAUGCCUGAGAUACGGGAUCAGAUAGUCCCCCUGGACUUCCAGCUCCCCUCUUUGGACGCUUACGAUGGCUCCACCGACCCAGCGGACCACGUAGCCGCUUUUCACGCCCAAAUGGCGCUAUACGGAACCUAUGAUGCUCUGAUGUGCAGAGCGUUUCCCACCACUCUGAGAGGGCCAGCCCACGCAUGGUAUGACGGUUUGAAAAUCGGAACGAUCGCUUCAUUUGACCAGCUCAUCAAUGACUUCGAGCUCCACUUUGUGACCUAUGCACGGCCGAAGCCUUCCGCGACACUGCUCCUCGGACUCAAACAAAGGGAGGACAAGCCCCUCUCACAUUUUGUGGAUCGCUUUGCCACGUAGAUCCAGGGUUUGCCGGACACUCACCCCUCUCAGUUAGUGCAGGCGUUUAUGAUAGGCCUACGACCUUCCAUAUUCCUCUGGUCCCUCGGGGAGCGACCUCCCACCACGGUGCCAGAGAUGCUCCAGCGGGCUAACCGGUACAUCGCGGCGGAGGCCUGGGUGGCCAUGAGGAGAAGGGACGACUUCUGGCAGUGGGCUCCAUAGAAGAAGUCAAGCACCCGCGGUGGCUAUCCGAUGUAGUCCUCGUAAAAGGAAUCUAGGCCCUGCCUCAGUCUCUUCCGAGCGAAGGCUUAGUAUCUACCUGACUGCCUCCCGGUUCGCGGUUAGCUCCGACCUAACCCCCUUUGGUAUCUACACGGCUCGGCCACAGUCUGCCGAGUCCACCUCAACGUGGCCUGCCCGCCUGAGCCGUGUCCCUCGGUCGUAGACUGCCGAGUCCACCUCAGCGCGGCCUGCCCGCCUGAGCCAUGUCCCUCGGCCCGAGCCACGUCCCUUGGCCGUAGACUGCCGAGCCCCCCUCAGGGUGGCCUUCCCGAGCCAUAUCCCUUGGCCGUAGAUAGCCGAGUCCACCUCAGGGCGCCCUUCCCGCUUGAGCCGUAUCCCUUGGCCAUAGACUACCGAGUUUCCCUCGGCCUUCCCGUCCGAGCCAUAUCCCUCGGUCGUACAUUGCCUUCCCGCCCGAGCCGUGUCCCUCGGCCGUAGACUGCCGAAUCCACCUCAGGGUGGCCUGCCCGCCUGAGCCGUGUCCCUCGGCCUGAGCCACGUCCCUCGGCCAUAGACCGCCCGAACCACACCCCUCGGCCGCAGCCCACUUGCGCCGUGCUCCUCGGCCAUGUUGCCCGAGACCACGCCUGCGCGACCUGUCGCCCGAGCCACACCCCUCGGCCGCAGCCCGCCUGCACCGUGCUCCUCGGCCAUGUUGCCCGAGACCACGCCUGCGUCGUGCUCCUCGGCCGCAUGAUACCCGAGACCACACCUGCGCGGCUUGCCCACCUGCGUUGUGCUCCUUGGCUCCAUGCUCCUCGAGNNNNNNNNNNNNNNNNNNNNGCGUUGUGCUCCUUGGCUCCAUGCUCCUCGAGACACACCUGCGCGGCCAACCCGCUUGCGUCGUGCUCCUCGGCUCCAUGCUCCCCGAGACACACCUGCGCGGCCAGUCCACCUGCGUCGUGCUCCUCGGCCCCACGCUCCCCGAGACACACCUGCGCGGCCUACCCGCCUGUGUCAUGCUCCUUGGCUCCAUGCUCCCCGAGACACGCCUGCGCGGCCAGCUCGCCUGCGUCGUACUCCUCGACUCCAUGCUCCCCGAGACACACCUGCGCGGCCAGCCCGCCUGCGUCGUGCUCCUCGGCCCCACGUUCCCCGAGACACACCUGCGCGGCCAGCCCACCUGCAUCGUACUCCUCGGCUCCAUGCUCCCCGAGACCACGCUUGCGCGGCCAGCCCGCCUAAAAGUUGAAGCCAUGCCUCAGACUCCCGUUACAACGACCGACGCAUAGCUUCUUUCCGAGGGGGAAUAUGAUGAGGAUAGUAAUUAUGAUAAGACUCGGCUGACGUCAGGUGAUGCCUCACGCCUCGAUCGACAUGACAACACCUGGUCAAUGCAGAUCGAAACGCCGAUCGAGGCACAUUAACACCCUGCUCAAGCUCAAUUCUUCACGCCACGCCAACACAAGUGUCAGACGAUACCAGCUUGCCCCCUGCAAGCGGGCAGCUCAGGAAGCAGUAAGCUUCCCUAUAAAUACCCUCUCGUUCAUUAGGAGAGGGGGGAGAAACAGACACACAAAAAGACUUCUUCAUCUGAAACCCCCUUUGACAUCUUCUAACUUGAUCGUCGGAGGGGUCGAGUCGAGCUUCCCGACCCGACCUUUGUGCAUGUGCGAAGUCGAAGGCCCCCACCGGACGUGCAGGCGAGGAGUUCCUGCCCGGAGGAAAAGGCAACCCCAUCCCGAUCGGAUACCGCACCCGACCACCUCAACGGGCUCAAGGAAUGCCCCAGAGAAAUCCCCGUCGUCUGGAUCCGAACCGAGCACCGUCGGCCCCGAGGCCACGGCUCAAGGUUGUUUCCCACGACACCUCCAAACCACUAUUGCAUCGUUUCGGCCGCCUUAUCCAAGCAGUACUUGUAAUCGUAUGAUUUGCCACUCCACGUUAUCCACAAAAUAUAACCCAUCUCUUCACUCGAUUCAAACCACUCUCCCCAAAUUUCUCUGCCUGUUUAGCUAACGUCGAUCGCAGUCACGGAUAGGUACAACUAACACACCGG
This 3791-nucleotide long non-coding RNA is filed under the name Musa acuminata (dwarf banana). RNAcentral's name for it is "long non-coding RNA (MACU_LNC002781)". Lineage: Eukaryota; Viridiplantae; Streptophyta; Magnoliopsida; Zingiberales; Musaceae. The record is from RNAcentral.